UUUCAAUCACGUGACAGUUUCGCGCCCAAAACAACAUUGCAAGGGCGGGUGCCGCGGUCCCUUCAUUAGUGUGAAACUUUAGGUUAUCAAGAAACCGUGCGGCUGAAUUUAUCAGUUUUGUGUUCUGCUGUGCCCCCUCUUGUCCGCGUACACUUCAGCAAGGCUUUCGGCGGCAACGGCUUCUACGGUAGAAGUCUACGGUAGCGUGGUUCCACCUGGCACUUCACACGCUUCAUGAUCAGGUACAUUGCACAGGCCGGAAGAAAAGAAUGAGAAGCAGAACCAAAAUCUUACUUUGCCACCAAUGCAGCUGAUGAGGAGUGACAGAAAGGAAUACCUAGGAACUAUGCUGUGAGUGCCAUCCGUCUGGCCUUCAUUGCCAUGCUUC
This is a long non-coding RNA of Rhipicephalus sanguineus (brown dog tick), 388 nucleotides long. RefSeq lists it as uncharacterized. Lineage: Eukaryota; Metazoa; Arthropoda; Arachnida; Ixodida; Ixodidae. The record is from RefSeq and is a predicted model, not a curated record. The transcript has 3 exons.